GAAGAAGGCGGGGGGCGUGCUUAACACAUGCAAGUCGAACGGAAAGGCCCUGCUUUUGUGGGGUGCUCGAGUGGCGAACGGGUGAGUAACACGUGAGUAACCUGCCCUUGACUUUGGGAUAACUUCAGGAAACUGGGGCUAAUACCGGAUAGGAGCUCCUGCUGCAUGGUGGGGGUUGGAAAGUUUCGGCGGUUGGGGAUGGACUCGCGGCUUAUCAGCUUGUUGGUGGGGUAGUGGCUUACCAAGGCUUUGACGGGUAGCCGGCCUGAGAGGGUGACCGGCCACAUUGGGACUGAGAUACGGCCCAGACUCCUACGGGAGGCAGCAGUGGGGAAUAUUGCACAAUGGGCGGAAGCCUGAUGCAGCAACGCCGCGUGCGGGAUGACGGCCUUCGGGUUGUAAACCGCUUUCGCCUGUGACGAAGCGUGAGUGACGGUAAUGGGUAAAGAAGCACCGGCUAACUACGUG
Molecule: ribosomal RNA, 468 nt
Filed under: uncultured bacterium
Lineage: Bacteria
Description: partial 16S ribosomal RNA
Rfam family: Bacterial small subunit ribosomal RNA
Source: RNAcentral